AUUCCAGCUCCAAUAGCGUAUAUUAAAGUUGUUGCAGUUAAAAAGCUCGUAGUCGGAUUUUGGCAUCACGCCGAACUGUCUGCCGAUUGGUAAGUACGGUUUGGCGGGUGCUUCCUUCCGGAGGCUCGUUCCCUUCUUCAUUGAAGGGUUCGUUGGUUCCGGGUCUUUUACUUUGAGAAAAUUAGAGUGUUCAAAGCAGGCCUAUGCUCUGAAUAGGUUAGCAUGGAAUAAUAGAAUAGGACUUUGGUUCUAUUUUGUUGGUUUCUAGUACUGAAGUAAUGAUUGAUAGGGAUAGUUGGGGGUGCUAGUAUUGAGCGGCCAGAGGUGAAGUUCUUGGAUUCGCUCAAGACUAACUUAUGCGAAAGCAUUCACCAAGGAUGUCUUCAUUA
This 389-nucleotide ribosomal RNA is filed under the name Picozoa sp. RNAcentral's name for it is "partial small subunit ribosomal RNA". It matches the Rfam family "Eukaryotic small subunit ribosomal RNA", at positions 582 to 975 of the family's 1831-position model. Lineage: Eukaryota; Picozoa. The record is from RNAcentral.